Molecule: ribosomal RNA, 1308 nt
Filed under: Adineta vaga
Lineage: Eukaryota; Metazoa; Rotifera; Eurotatoria; Adinetida; Adinetidae
Description: SSU rRNA
Rfam family: Eukaryotic small subunit ribosomal RNA
Source: RNAcentral
UCCGAUUGAUCUUGUUGGUGGCUUUCCUUUGUCUUGAAGAUUAAGCCAUGCAUGUCUAAGUAUGAACUGGUUUAAGGUGAAACUGCGUACGGCUCAUUACAUCAGCUAUAACUUUCUUUGAUCAUAAAUUCUAAAUGGAAUAACCGAGGAAAAGCCUGGGCUAAUACAUGCGACAAUUCCGGUAGUAAUAUCGGAAUGCUUUUAUUAGAUCAAAACCCUCUAGUUCUUUAACCGGAACUGUUUGUUGGUGACUCUAAAUAACUUUGUGUUGAUCGUAUGACCUUUGUGUCGACGACAUAUCUUUCAAGUGUCUGACUUAUCAACUUUAGACGGUACAUUAUAUGUCUACCGUGGUUGUAACGAGUACAGAGAAUCAGGGUUUGGUUCUGGAGAGGCCGCCUGAGAAACGGCGACCACUUCCAAGGAAGGCAGCAGGCGCGCAAAUUACCCACUCUCAAAACGAGGAGGUAGUGAAGAGAAAUAACGAUGUUAGUCUUAUUUAGGCUGACAAUCGGAAUGGGAACACUGUAGACAGGUUAUCGAUUAACAAUUGGAGGGCAAGUCUGGUGCCAGCAGCCGCGGUAAUUCCAGCUCCAAUAAGGAAAACUAAAGUUGCUGUGUUUAAAAAGCUCGUAGUUGAAUUUCGGGUAUUUGUUGCUAGCUGGUCUAACUGGCCAUGUUGGUUAACAGAUCCUCAUUUGCUGGACGGCUGGCGAUGAUCUUUAUCGAUUGUCGUCAGUUGCCAGAACGUUUACUUUGAGAAAAUUAGAGUGCUAAAAGCAGGCUUUCGCCUAUAUAUAUUGCAUGGAAUAAUGAAAUAAGAUCUCGAUUUUAUUUCGUUGGUUUUAGAAAUUGAGAUAAUGAUUAAUAGGAUCAGAGGGGGGCGUACGUACUGUGGUGUGAGAGGUGAAAUUCUUGGAUCGCCACAGGACGAACAGCAGCGAAGGCGUUCGCCAAGAAUGUUUUCAUUAAUCAAGAACGAAAGUUUGAGGUUCGAAGACGAUUAGAUACCGUCCUAGUUCAAACCAUAAACGUUGCCAACUGUCUUUUAGAUGCGGUUAUUUAUAUGACUCACCUGGCGGAUCUCGAGAAAUCUAAGUUUUUAGGUUCCGGGGGAAGUAUGGUUGCAAAGCUGAAACUUAAAAGAAUUGACGGAAGGACACACAAGAAGUGGAGCCUGUGGCCUAAUUUGWCUCAACACGGGAAACCUUACUCGGCCAGGACACUAAAAAAAARRAUAUAUCGCCUAUUGACAUUUAUAUUGAACUGUUAAAUUGAAAAAUAUGAUAAGUGAGAAAUGUUUAGGUA